RNAcentral lists this long non-coding RNA (3058 nucleotides) under Helianthus annuus (common sunflower). RNAcentral describes it as "hypothetical non coding rna". The record is from RNAcentral. Lineage: Eukaryota; Viridiplantae; Streptophyta; Magnoliopsida; Asterales; Asteraceae.
UCAAAUGGGACUGAAAACAAAUAUUCGUAAAUGUCCCCUGCAUAAUUGUAUCUGAAUUACGUAUGUAUCUGACGCAUGUAUGAACAUCUCACUUCAAGCCACUAUGCAUCAUUCAUGCCCUAAACAUCAAAUUGGUGACGAAGUUCCCUGAAUUUCGAUCUGUAAGUAUCAUAUUCGCAUCUUAUCGUAUUUAAUUCAUGAUUUCGUAGAUUAUCUCACUCGAUUUUGUUGCAUAACAUAGAUAAUUUUACAGCAAUUGAAGUAUGAUUUUAGUAGUUGCUAUUAACAGUAGAUUAUUAUGAAUUAAAUACGAUAAGAUCCGUAGAUUAUUAACUAUAGUAGAAGAAAACCACUAUAGUUACUAUGUAUGUACACCACUAAUUAUGCUAUGCAAUACUUGUACUGUGUGUAGUUUAUCAAAAUACACUGAUAUAGAUAUAUAUGCUAUUUUACAUGUAUAUUUAACAAAAACCUAAAAUCCAGCUAUUUUAGAGCGAUAUUUAAUUACUAUUUAUAUUAAAUAACCAAAAAAUAAGUAAAUUGUCGCUAUCUAUCGCUACAACCCUAUAAUAGCGAGCCUAGACCUAUACGCUGGCGAUUGCUACGCUCGCUAUUGACAACUAUGCACACAAGUUAUAAUUUUCUUACAUUAUCUCUCAGUUUUACAUGAAUUACUUAAGUGUUGGUUUUUUUAUAUUAUCCUACACGAUAUAGGAAAUAUAUUCAGGCUGUUUUGAUUAGCAUUACCCUGAAAGUAGGAGAUACCCACCCACCAACAUUCAAAAGUAGUAUUUAGCUGAUAAUCAAUGGUUGCUGAGUUAGUGAGAGGCAUGACUUCCAAGUUUGAAGGUAACAACUGCAGUGCAGAAGCAGAAGAAGAAGAUGCUCUUCCUUCUUAUCACAUUGUAGGCGAUGUAUGUGUUGAGUGAGUACACUAAUGCGUGAGAUCUUGGAUGAGAAAAUCGGCUUCUCUUGGUAGAGGAUGCUUCCGGUAGGAGUAGUACAAGGAAAUGGGAUAGUGUGUAGUCUUAGGUAACAUGAAAUUGGAUGAAUCCAUCUAUUUGUUAAGUGUAAUCGAUGACAGAAGAUGGGAAAGUUUGCGAACCACAAGUUCAAGGUAAAACAACACUAGAUCCCACAAAAGGUCUUACUUGCUUGUUGGAAGUGUGGCAAGCAGGGGCGGACUUAGAAGGUUAUUAGGGAUCCCUCAACCCCGUUUCCAUAGUGUAAAAAUACACCUUAACUCCGUUUUCGUAGUGUAAAAAUACCCCUCAACUUCGUCUCGGUUAUACAAAGGAUACCCCUGGUCUAAAAAAAUAAAAAAAUGGUAUACCCAUAGUUGUCGAUAACGAAUAGCGACAAGGCACCUAUAGGCUACGUUGCAAAAAAUGGGUUUCUGAACUGGAAUUUAAUUGAACUCGUGCAUGUCCGCACGUCUUGCGGACAAGAAUGCAGCUCCGAAAACGGGCCCGCGUGUGCCAGUUUUUGCACAUUAACCGGCUGUCGCUAAGUUCGCUAUUCGUCGCUAAGACCCAUAUAGCGACAAGAAGGCCGGUUUUAAACUGAUUCAUUCGGUUAUUAUUACACGUAUAACCAGAACUGAACCAUAAAAGCUGGCUAUGAAAAAAAAUCAUAACCGGAUCAUCAAUUUGGUUAUUUCGUUAUGCUCAGUGUUGGAAAAAUUGGGAUUAAUAGUCAACUAAUCGCUAGUUGGCUGGAAUAGGCCAUUAUGGCCGCCAGAUUCCCGCUAGAUUUCAGCCAAAACCUGUAAAUUUCGGCCUGAUUCCGGCAAAAACCUGUAAAUUCCUGCGAUUAAUCCUGUAUACGACAUGGGUUAAAAUGUGUCUACUUAUAAAAAUGUGUGUACUGUAGAUAUUAAACUGAAAAUUACAUAUAAAAAUCCCAAUCCGAUUAAUCACGACUAAUCUUGAUUAAUCACUAGUCGAUACCCCACCGGCUGACUAGUGCCUAGCGAUCCUUACAACAAUGGUUACGGUUUAGUUAUUCGGUUUUUCUACUCAACCCUAGCAUAAAAUCCGUGACAAAGUUAAAGUUGUAAUUUUCGGAUGAUUGAGUCAUUAAUGCUAUUUAAUAUCUCCGAGUUCUAUAUAAACGGCCUACCCCCCCAAUUGCUUUGAUAUCAUCGAACCGGUGGUUGGUCCUACAUACAAAACCCUAAAAUCAUAGUAACAGAGCGCCAGUGAUUCGUUCGCCACAUACAAUGGCAGCAGAUGAGCGAUCCCUGAUUGAGCUCCCAAAAGUCAAUCUGGAAGCUGUUCUUACUAAGUUGCCGUUACGAUCUCUCCUUGUGUUUCCAAGUCUCUGUUGAAUCUCAUUAAAAAUGAUUCAGAGUUUGCACAAGUGCAUCUUGCAAAAUCAGAACCCCGAUUAAUGAUCCAGUGUCUCUUAGAUCCAAGUCUUCACUUGAUUGAUGUGGGUACCGAUACUGCUUCGCGUCCAAUUUUAACAUCCCUUUAAAUGGCUUUGAAAUAACACAUUCGUGUAAUGGGUUGUAUGUUAUACUACAACCCUGUUACUUACAGGUGAAUAAUACACAUUGCUUCCUGAAACUAGAAUUCGUUAUAGAACUGUUUUUUACUGCCCAAAAACACACCGAUUUGAAGUUCUUCUAUGCAUGUUUUACCGGUUGAAACCUUAUUCAGAUGUUUCAUCUCAUAUUGGAUUAGAUCCGAUUCCGGCCUCCGAUUCAGAUCCUGAUUAAUCUCAUUGGAGUAGGGAUGUGAGAGGUACCAACUUGGAAGUGGUAAAGGUGGCACCAAGGCUUGCUGAUCCAAAUUCGAGCGCGCGUAACAAUCUGGAGAUAUCAACUUUCUCAGAGGAGGCCGGGACUGCAAAUUGAACCGUUGGAUGUUCCUUUCCUAACCGCUGUCAUCUAGCUGCAUAGCGGGUUGAUCGUGACCUUAAGGGGUUCAAUCCUAGUAGUUAUGUGUUCUGGUACUAGUUUAAUCAAUGUUUAAAUGUUUGAUGACUUUUGUUUGGUUUCUGGGCUAGUUCUUCUUUUAUAUUGGUAGUAAAGUAAUAGUAAUUUGCAUUUGGU